This 202-nucleotide long non-coding RNA is filed under the name Fukomys damarensis (Damara mole-rat). RNAcentral describes it as "lncRNA (ENSFDAG00000030642.1)". The record is from RNAcentral. Lineage: Eukaryota; Metazoa; Chordata; Mammalia; Rodentia; Bathyergidae.
ACUUACGUCUGUCUGGAUGUCUUGCUGCUGACAGUUUGGCCAAGGGGGACAGGAGAAAUGAGUGUGCAGGGCUCCUGUGGCUUCCCAGACAGAGGAGUGCCUGUGCCCGCCCUGUGACAUUCGGCACUGCUCCCUUCUUCAUCGGCCUGCAUCUCCGCCUUUUCUGUUUCUGGAAAAAGUUUCUUAAUAUCUGAGCCGAGCA